This 890-nucleotide long non-coding RNA is filed under the name Carica papaya (papaya). RNAcentral's name for it is "long non-coding RNA (CPAP_LNC010355)". The record is from RNAcentral. Lineage: Eukaryota; Viridiplantae; Streptophyta; Magnoliopsida; Brassicales; Caricaceae.
CUGAUUUUGCAUCAAUCCCUGUGAGAAAAUACAUUAAGGGGCCUUAGUUAGCCGAAAAAAUACAAAAAAGUGAAACUCAUCGAGGCGGGGCUCUUCGGUGCGGCGACUCCUCUCGCUCACGUUGCGGUUGGGUGUUUUGCUCCAGUCAACCUGUAGAGAAAGAAAUGGUGAUCACAAUAAUGAAAAAAUUAUGUAUAACAGGAAUCGGAAAGGGUCUUAUCAGAGGUGUUUUGUGAAAUUCCUCGUGGUGGCACCGCCGUUUUGCUCCGAUUUGGCUAUAGAAGUGUUUAAAAUUGAAUUCUGAACAAACGAGAAAAUUUUUACCUCUUUUAGCAGUCGAAAAUGGCUCCAACACGGCGGCAGGUGGCGGCGGCCUCCUUCCCGGUAGCUGGAUCUUCUUCUCCAGCGAGGGGAGUCUGGCGGCUAAGGUUAGGAUUUGGUGUGAAUGGAGUUAUUUAUACUCAUCUCCUUUUGAUAUAGACCGUCCAUCGCGUUUGAUUUAGACCGUCUAAUCGCGAUUAAAUAGGGAGUGAAUCUGGAUCGUUAAUCGCGAUUCAAUCUGGGUUGUUCGAUCGCGUUUAAAUAAGAAACGAAUUUGAGCAGUCCAUCGCAUUUAAAUCUGACCGUCCGAUCGCGUUUGGAGAGGGAACGCAUUCGAGUCGUCCGUGCACGCUGGGGCGAAUCUGUACCGUUCGAUCGCAGGCAUACGGAUCGGUCGUAUGACAUCCUGUGUGGUACCACGUCAGCGUCUAUUGUCACGCGGCGCGUCUUGGUUUGUUGGAGCUGCUGAUUGGGUAUUCCACGUGGCACAACUUCUCUAAAUUGUAUUUUGACCCCUAAUUUUUUAUUUUUCUUUCAAAAAUAUCCCUAUAACCCAAAUUUUCACUCAU